UACGUAGGGUGCAAGCGUUUAAUCGGAAUUACUGGGCGUAAAGCGUGCGCAGGCGGUGAUGUAAGACAGGUGUGAAAUCCCCGGGCUUAACCUGGGAAUGGCAUUUGGGACUGCAAGGCCGGAGUGCGGCAGAGGAGACUGGAAUUCCUGGUGUAGCAGUGAAAUGCGUAGAUAUGUGGAGGAACACCGAUGGCGAAGGCAGGUCUCUGGGCCACUACUGACGCUGAGAAGCGAAAGCGUGGGGAGCGAACAGG
Molecule: ribosomal RNA, 254 nt
Filed under: uncultured bacterium
Lineage: Bacteria
Description: partial 16S ribosomal RNA
Rfam family: Bacterial small subunit ribosomal RNA
Source: RNAcentral